RNAcentral lists this ribosomal RNA (497 nucleotides) under uncultured bacterium. RNAcentral describes it as "partial 16S ribosomal RNA". It matches the Rfam family "Bacterial small subunit ribosomal RNA", at positions 28 to 507 of the family's 1533-position model. The record is from RNAcentral.
GACGAACGCUGGCGGCGUGCCUAAUACAUGCAAGUUGAGCGCUGAAGGUUGGUACUUGUACCAACUGGAUGAGCAGCGAACGGGUGAGUAACGCGUGGGGAAUCUGCCUUUGAGCGGGGGACAACAUUUGGAAACGAAUGCUAAUACCGCAUAAAAACUUUAAACACAAGUUUUAAGUUUGAAAGAUGCAAUUGCAUCACUCAAAGAUGAUCCCGCGUUGUAUUAGCUAGGUGGUGAGGUAAAGGCUCACCAAGGCGAUGAUACAUAGCCGACCUGAGAGGGUGAUCGGCCACAUUGGGACUGAGACACGGCCCAUACUGCUACGGGAGGCAGCAGUAGGGAAUCUUCGGCAAUGGAAGGAAGUCUGACCGAGCAACGCCGCGUGAGUGAAGAAGGUUUUCGGUUCGUAAAUAUCUGUUGGUAGAGAAGAACGUUGGUUAGAGUGGAAAGCUCAUCAAGUGACGGUAACGACCCAGAAAGGGAGGGCUAACUACGUG